Molecule: transfer RNA, 73 nt
Filed under: Cimex lectularius (bed bug)
Lineage: Eukaryota; Metazoa; Arthropoda; Insecta; Hemiptera; Cimicidae
Description: tRNA-Asn
Rfam family: tRNA
About the family: Transfer RNA (tRNA) molecules are approximately 80 nucleotides in length. Their secondary structure includes four short double-helical elements and three loops (D, anti-codon, and T loops).
Source: Rfam by way of RNAcentral
GCCACGAUAGGUCAAGUGGUAGAGCAGCGGCGUGUUUAGCCGCAGAUCGUGGGUUCGAAUCCCACUCGUGGUA